AGGAAUAUUGGUCAAUGGGCGAGAGCCUGAACCAGCCAAGUAGCGUGAAGGAUGACUGCCCUAUGGGUUGUAAACUUCUUUUAUAAAGGAAUAAAGUCGGGUAUGGAUACCCGUUUGCAUGUACUUUAUGAAUAAGGAUCGGCUAACUCCGUGCCAGCAGCCGCGGUAAUACGGAGGAUCCGAGCGUUAUCCGGAUUUAUUGGGUUUAAAGGGAGCGUAGAUGGAUGUUUAAGUCAGUUGUGAAAGUUUGCGGCUCAACCGUAAAAUUGCAGUUGAUACUGGUUCCCUUGAGUGCAGUUGAGGCAGGCGGAAUUCGUGGUGUAGCGGUGAAAUGCAUAGAUAUCACGAAGAACCCCGAUUGCGAAGGCAGCCUGCUAAGCUGUAACUGACGUUGAGGCUCGAAAGUGUGGGUAUCAAACAGGAUUAGAUACCCUGGUAGUCCACACGGUAAACGAUGGAUACUCGCUGUUGGCGAUAUACUGUCAGCGGCCAAGCGAAAGCAUUAAGUAUCCCACCUGGGGAGUACGCCGGCAACGGUGAAACUCAAAGGAAUUGACGGGGGCCCGCACAAGCGGAGGAACAUGUGGUUUAAUUCGAUGAUACGCGAGGAACCUUACCCGGGCUUAAAUUGCAGACGAAUUACCUGGAAACAGGUAAGCCGCAAGGCGUCUGUGAAGGUGCUGCAUGGUUGUCGUCAGCUCGUGCCGUGAGGUGUCGGCUUAAGUGCCAUAACGAGCGCAACCCUCGUGGCCAGUUACUAGCAGGUAACGCUGAGGACUCUGGCCAGACUGCCAUCGUAAGAUGCGAGGAAGGUGGGGAUGACGUCAAAUCAGCACGGCCCUUACGUCCGGGGCUACACACGUGUUACAAUGGGAGGUACAGAAGGCAGCUACCCGGCGACGGGAUGCCAAUCUCCAAAGCCUCUCUCAGUUCGGACUGGAGUCUGCAACCCGACUCCACGAAGCUGGAUUCGCUAGUAAUCGCGCAUCAGCCACGGCGCGGUGAAUACGUUCCCG
RNAcentral lists this ribosomal RNA (1016 nucleotides) under uncultured bacterium. Its description in RNAcentral is "bacterial SSU rRNA". It matches the Rfam family "Bacterial small subunit ribosomal RNA", at positions 357 to 1376 of the family's 1533-position model. The record is from RNAcentral.